GCAACGGUUUGUGCGAUGGACGCCGCGGUCCAACAGGCGCUGCUCAACUACUACUGCCAGGAAUGCUACUUCCACCACGUCCGGGCUGCGGCGGAGGAGGCUCUGGGCCGGCUGGGCAGCGACCCGGUGUUCAGCUUCUACCGGGCGUACGGCACGCUGCGCACAGGUGAUGUCCAAGAGGGUAUUAGACAACUCGAAUCCAUUAAGAACAAACAGGAGGUGUCGCUUUGUGCAAUGAUGGCGCUGAUCUAUGCUCACAAAAAGAGCCCUAAUCCAGAUCGGGAUGCUAUUCUAGAGCUGGAUACAAAACUGAAGGAGCAACGUAGGACAGCAGGGAAGCAGGCUCUCUACUUUGCUGGCUUACUUUUGUGGCAUCUUGGUCGUGAAGACAAAGCCCGUGAAUACGUUGAUAGGGUGAUCAAAGUUUCUAAUGGUGAUAAAGAGGGAUUGGUUCUGAAAGCAUGGCUUGAUCUCACUUGUGGGAAAGAAACUCACCUUAGAAAGGCUGUGAAGUACCUUGAUGAAGCAUUGCAGGAAGGGAAUGAUGUUUUUGCUCUCCUUGGUAAAGCACAAUAUUUUGAGAUCCGUCAGAAUUAUUCAGGAGCUCUGGAAAUGGUGAACCAGAUAAUUGCAAACUUCCCAAACUUUAUUCCUGCUUUCAUAAAGAAAAUGAAGCUACAACUGGCCUUGCAGGACUGGGAACAGGCAGUUGAAACAGCACAUAGACUAUUGCAGAAAGAUGCUCUCAAUAUAGAGGCCACAAGAAUGGAGGCCCUGCAUUUUUUGUGCAGGGAAGGAAAUGUGCGUGAGGCUUCGGCAAGACUCAGUGACCUACUUAAAGCAUUGGACAGGUCGGAGCCACGUAAUUCACAGCUCUUCUAUAAAAUGGCUUUAGCUUUCAGUAGAACAUGUGGCCGGAACCAACUCAUCCUUCAACAUACACAAACGUUAGUUCAAAGAGCAUUUAAUUUGGAUUCUGACAAUGCAGAAUUUGCUACAGAGCUUGGCUACCAAAUGAUUUUACAAGGGAAAGUGAAAGAAGCUUUAAAAUGGUAUAAGACUGCCAUGGAACUUGAUGGAACAAGUGUUUCUGCCUUAACUGGAAUUAUUCGUUGUCAGAUAAUACAAGAGCAGUUAGAAGAUGCAGAACAGCAGUUGGAGUUUCUUAAUGAAAUCCAAGAGUCCAUUGGAAAAUCAGCGGAAUUAUCUUUCUUGCGUGCAGUCCUUGCAAUGAAAAAGCAUAAGAGACAAGAAGUAGUGUCUGCCUUGCUGAAUGAUGUUCUGGAUAUCCACUUCUCAACUAUGCACCGUUUUCCUCUUGGUGUGGAGUAUUUUGAAAAACUGAAUCCUGAUUUCUUGCUAGAAAUUAUUAAGGAAUAUCUUCAUUUUUGCCCAGUACAGCUUGCAAGUCCUGGGCAGUCUCCUUCACCACUUCUCAAGCAGUAUGCUUCUGUUCUUGAAACUGUGGUAAAAACUGUGCCAGGUCUUCAACAAGCUGUUUUUUUAAAUGCAAAGGUGAAAUAUUUAUCAGGGGAUAUUGAAGCAGCCCAUACUAAUCUUCGUUACUGUCUGGAAAGGGGUCCUUCUUAUGCAGAUGCACACUUACUUAUGGCUCAGGUCUAUUUGGCUCAGAACAAUACUAAACUGUGUUCUCAAUCCCUGGAACUCUGCCUGAGCUACAGUUUUGAGGUGAGAGAACAUCCAGUUUAUCACUUAAUUAAAGCUCAAACCCAGAAGAAGAUGGGUGAAUUAUCAGAAGCUAUUAAGACCUUACAGAUGGCAAGAAAUUUGCCUGGAAUGAGAAAACAUACAGCUUCCUCAAAGACAAAAGGAAAAAGAAUUGAAAUUGAUACAAGUGAUCGUGUGGCUGUCUUUCUAGAAUUAGUAGACGCUCAUUGUUUGAAUGGAGAACCGCAUGAGGCUGCUGUAGUACUACAAGAUGCCAUUGAUGAAUUUUCUGGAACUCCUGAGGAACUGAGGGUCAUGAUUGCAAAUGCAGAUCUGGCAAUUGCUCAAGGAGAUGUUGAACAAGCCUUGACUGUGCUCCGAAAUAUUACACCUGAACAGCCUUACUUUGUAGAAGCUAAGCUGAAGAUGGCAGACAUCUAUCUUCAGUGCAGGAGAGAUAAGCAGUUGUAUGCUGCUUGCUACAGAGACCUAGCAGAAAAACUGCCAAGUGCUCAUACGUUUCUUCUUCUUGGUGAUGCAUAUUUGAAUAUUCAAGAGCCUGAUGAAGCCAUAGAAGUCUACGAGCAGGCUUUGAAGAAAAAUCCAAAAAAUCCAGCUUUAGCAACUAAAAUUGGAAAAGCCUUAAUCAAAACACAUAACUAUUCAAAGGCAAUCAGUUACUAUGAGGCUGCCUUGAAAAGUGGUCAGCAGAAUUUCCUUUGCUAUGACUUGGCUGAACUUUUAAUGAAACUAAAGCAGUAUGAAAAGGCAGUAGUAGUACUUCAGCAAGCUCUAGAUCACGAGUAUGUUAAUGAAUUGUCUUCUCUGAUGGAAGAUGGACGGUACCACGUUCUAUUAGCGAAGAUUUACAGCAAAAUGGAGAAGAUUGAUGAAGCUAUCACUUCAUUACAGCAGGCUCGAGAAUUACAGGCCAGAGUACUUAAACGGGCUCAGACAGAACAGCCAGAUGCAGUUCCUGCACAGAAGCAGUUAGCAGCUGAAAUUUGUGCUGAGAUUGCAAAGCAUUGUACAGUUCAGCGAAACUAUGAAAAAGCAAUUAAAUUUUACAAAGAGGCACUUGUUCACUGUGAAACUGAUAAAAAGGCAAUGUUGGAACUAGCACGUUUGUACCUUGCACAAGAUGAUAGUGAUGCCUGUCAGCAUCAGUGUUCCUUGUUACUGAGGAGUGAGCAAGAUAACGAAGCAGCAACGAUGAUGAUGGCUGACCUCAUGUUCAGGAAGCAAGACUAUGAACAAGCAAUCUUUCAUUUCCAGCAGCUCCUCGAACGCAAGCCAGAUAACUAUGCCACUCUCUCACGAUUAAUUGAUCUGUUAAGAAGAGCUGGAAAACUAGAAGAUGUCCCAAGAUUUCUUUUAAUGGCUGAAAAACAUUCUUCCAGAGCAAAGCUUGAACCAGGCUUUCACUACUGCAAAGGACUAUAUCUCUGGUAUACAGGUGAACCAAAUGACGCACUCCGCCAUUUUAAUAAAGCUCGAAAGGACAAUGACUGGGGACAGAAUGCAGUCUACAACAUGAUAGAAAUUUGUUUGAACCCAGAUAAUGAAACUAUAGGUGGUGAAGUCUUCGAAAAUCUGGAUGCUGACAUAGGUAACUCAACAGAGAAGCAGGAGUCUGUGCAGUUGGCUGUAAGAACAGCAGAGAAUCUUCUGAAGGAACUCAAGCCUCAGACCAUUCAGGGUCACGUUCAGCUGCGAAUCAUGGAAAAUUAUUGUCUCAUGGCAACCAAACAAAAAUCAAAUGUCGAACGAGCUCUAAACACUUUCACUGAAAUCGUAGUGGCUGAGAAAGAUCAUAUACCUGCACUUCUGGGAAUGGCUACAGCCUACAUGAUCUUGAAACAGACUCCACGAGCUAGAAAUCAGUUAAAACGGAUUUCAAAAAUGAACUGGAAUCCCAUUGAUGCAGAGGAGUUUGAAAAGAGUUGGCUUCUGCUUGCAGACAUAUAUAUUCAGUCUUCAAAAUAUGAUACGGCAAGUGAAUUAUUAAAACGAUGCCUUCGGCAUAACAAGUCCUGCUGCAAGGCUUAUGAAUACAUGGGAUACAUAAUGGAAAAGGAACAAGCGUAUAAGGAUGCAGCAAUAAAUUAUGAGAUGGCCUGGAGAUACGGAAACCAAUCAAAUCCAACAAUAGGAUACAAGCUGGCUUUCAAUUAUCUGAAAGGAAAGAGAUACGUUGAUGCAAUUGCUGUUUGUCAUAAGGUCCUUGAAGCACAUCCAAACUAUCCAAAGAUCAGAAAGGAAAUACUUGACAAGGCCCGUGCAUCAUUAAGAACAUAACUUGUUGUUUUUUUUAAAACUCAUUGACUUAUUAGUAUAAGGUGCCUUCAGAAACUACUACAGUGACAGAGACCAUAUCAGCACAAAUGUAUUGUGAAUAUGAUUAACUUGCAUUGAAUUAGAAGUCUGGAUCCUUUGCAAGAAAAGUCUGCAGCCCUGGGAGAAAUUGUAGCUAUUUAGCAGGAAAUACUGCUUACAUGUAUGGUACCUAAAACAUCAUCCAGAAAUAAAAAAUACCAAAGAUAAAGCCCACAGGCAUCUCUGUAGAAUACAGCCCAAGUGCAUUUCAGAUAAACACACAACUUGGAUUCUAGUGACUGACAUACUGGAGGCUCAUUUUCAAUCUACUUUUCAAAGUAACGUGUGCAUUCCACAAUGUAUAUAAUAGAUAUGUAUCCUGAAUGCAAUGAUGCUACCUACUGGAGAUUUCUAGAUCCUGCAUUCAAGGAUGUUCUGAGCUUUUGGUCAGCCAAGCUGAAAUUAAUGGAAACUAACAGGUAACAGGUGUAUAAUACUUCUAGAAGUUUGGUAUGAGUGAUGGAGUUGACAAAAGACCUGAGUAAGUGGCUUCUCCUUCCCCGAGUAACCUUGAAGCUUAUGCUGUAGACAUAUCCUUUUUGUACUGAUCACAAUACAGGAAGAAAAAGACUUGGGUGACUGGGGGAAGCUGAUAAUGUAUGGGAGUAGAUUGAGGGACUUGGAAGGAUUUGAAGAAUGCUGAGGCUGGGAGGAGUUACAAGGAAUCCAAUUAUGAAUCCUUGAACUGCUGGAUUAUUAUUUUCCCCCCACUGGUAAAAUAUUAAGUACCUAGGGCUUUUCAAGGCAGUUUCUAAUAAGAGAGCAUUGAGAUCGAUGUCUUUCUGCUUGCUCCCUCGCACUGGAAUAACUUAGCUCAAGUUUAGAAUAAAAAUGAAUGCUUUUAUGCUGAUACACCCAAGACAUGUUCAAAAUAGGUAAAGUUAAUCUGUAUCUACACCUUUCUUUUGAGCAUCAGAUACGUGUUGCCAGUUCAUAAGAUACGAUACAGAAAUUAAUUGAUAGAAAUUGGUCUCAGACUUGAAGCUUUUCCUUGCUAAUUUAUGGUGGAGAUUUUUGUUCAUUUUAGCAUGAAAUAAAAGAUUUCUGGAAUCCUCUUAGGCUUCCUGAAUACAUUUAGCUACUAA
This is a non-coding RNA of Coturnix japonica (Japanese quail), 5129 nucleotides long. The record is from RefSeq and is a predicted model, not a curated record. NCBI's taxonomy places the organism in Eukaryota, Metazoa, Chordata, Aves, Galliformes, Phasianidae.